UACAUAGGUCUCAAGCGUUGUUCGGAUUUAUUGGGCGUAAAGGGUGCGUAGGCGGCGCGGUAAGUCGGAUGUGAAAUCUCGGAGCUUAACUUCGAAACUGCAUUCGAUACUGCCGUGCUUGAGGACUGGAGAGGAGACUGGAAUUUACGGUGUAGCGGUGAAAUGCGUAGAUAUCGUAAGGAAGACCAGUGGCGAAGGCGGGUCUCUGGACAGUUCCUGACGCUGAGGCACGAAGGUGAGGGGAGCAAACGGG
This 253-nucleotide ribosomal RNA is filed under the name uncultured bacterium. Its description in RNAcentral is "partial 16S ribosomal RNA". It matches the Rfam family "Bacterial small subunit ribosomal RNA", at positions 524 to 776 of the family's 1533-position model. The record is from RNAcentral.